UAUCACAUGCCCUAGAUCCAGCCAGCUCUGAAAAUCCCCACCUAUGAGCACAUGAGACUUUAGGGGAAUACCUGGAUACAAGGCAUAAUGUUGUCUUUGGGUAUAUUUCUUGGUCUUGUGCCAGUGUACUUUCCUAACAUGCUUGGGUUUUCCUUUGUUAGGUAUUUUAGGUGCCAUUUGAGUGGUCCACACCCACCCAUACUUAAAUAUCUUUUAGGAAGAACAACAGUAGCGUUGAAUGGGAGUCAAGUAUGGAUGGCAUGGGCAGCCACAGAGAGGAGGUCUGCUGCUGAAUGUGGGGAGAUCCUGUGUGGGCAGUCACGCACACAGGGGGAGAGCCAUCAGUGUCUCCUGAGAUCCGCACCCUUUGGACCUCAGGACCCUGGGAAACCAAGCAAGCAGCUCCCCUCCCUGGUAAGCAGCUGCAGUGUGGCAGAUUGCAGGCUCUCCAGGGCGAGAACCACCAGUGUCUCCUGAGAUCCACGUUGGAACUUCGGACCCUGGGAAACCAAGCAAGCAGCCUGCCUCCCUACUAAGCAAUAGUGAACCUACUGGUGCACGGCCUAGAGUCAAACAGCCUGCUUUCCCUACCCCCCUUCCGCUCUCCCCCCUGGUUAGCAAAUGGGAACCAGAAAUCUGAGCAUCUCUUGGGAGGUUGAUCAUAGCAAAUAAG
This 673-nucleotide long non-coding RNA is filed under the name Cavia porcellus (domestic guinea pig). RNAcentral's name for it is "lncRNA (ENSCPOG00000039499.1)". The record is from RNAcentral. Lineage: Eukaryota; Metazoa; Chordata; Mammalia; Rodentia; Caviidae.